This is a long non-coding RNA of Manduca sexta (tobacco hornworm), 1660 nucleotides long. RefSeq lists it as uncharacterized. The record is from RefSeq and is a predicted model, not a curated record. The transcript is spliced from 3 exons. Lineage: Eukaryota; Metazoa; Arthropoda; Insecta; Lepidoptera; Sphingidae.
GGUUGGUUGGAAUCACCACAUUCUGCCGCUUCAUAUGCAGCUUCCGCCAGGCCGGUAAACGCCCAGCAAACAUUAGCAGCAACACGAGGUUCAGCUUUCAAACCAUUAACAAGACUCUCCAGCAGUGGUUUCAAUUGUAAUCCUGCUGCCAUCCUCGCCACCUGGCUGUUGCCACCCUGAACCAGGAUGUCGGACAACAUUUUGAUAAAUGUUGUAAAGUUAGUGGCGGCUGCAUGGUCCAGUUGAAAGCAGUUAUAAAGACUAAAUGGAAAAAUCCUGGCUAAUACAUAUAUUUACAAUAGGUAUUAUUUAUAUUGACUAUCACAUAUAGUAUCUCAAUUAAAUGGUCCCUUCAAUGUUGUUAAAACUGGUUUUCACUAUAUUUUUAAAUUAUUAUUUUUUACAUAUUUACCAACAUCCUUUACCAUAGUCAGUAAUUGUAAACUGUAAGUUAAAUAGGAAUAUCUUAUUCAAUUUAAACUAGAAUUCACAUUAAUAUUAUUAUUUAAAAAAAUGUAUUGGCUGAAAGACUAUCUUACUCAGGCUCUGUAGACAUGUUUGUAGAAUGUAAAUUAAAUUAUUAUUCACUAGCUAUUUAGUUCCAGUGACAAAGGUUUGAUACAAGAUUUAUACCAGCUUAAUAAUAUACAUUUACCAGUUUCUAUGUAUUAAUGAGUGACAAAUUUUUUGUACUAGAAAUGUUUAAAUAUUGUUACAAAAGGUGACAUAUUUUAUCGUGCUUUCUCAUUACAUUACCUUGGCUCCUAAGAUGAUUAAAACAAUAACAAAUUUAUUCCAGCAUUUCUUAUUGGGAUUUGUCCAUUCAAGUUCAUUUAUUUUUUUUAUGCUGUUUGAUUGGCAUGUUUAGACAUGAUGAUGAACUAAUGCUGUUUCAGUGUGAUUCUAUUACCAAAAAAUCUGAUUGCACAAUGACAUGUUGUGUUAAUGCAGGAAUUAAUGUCAAUACAUGUAUACCUAUAUUUAGUUCAAGCAGAUAAAAAACAUGUUUUAUUGGUGAUUUCUUUGUGUGCAUCCAUACAUAUUUAAGUAGAUAUUCAUUUAUCAUUUGCAGUUUUAAUAUAAACGUAGUGAAAAGAUUCCAUUAUUGCAUCCAUAUGCUGUGUUAUUGUAAUAGAAUUAUACAAAAGAAACGAGAUGAAAAUAUGACAAUUGAAGUAAGAUUGUAUAACCUACAAAUUUUGAGUAGAUAUUCUUGAGGGAAUGGGACGUUGCAACAAGUGUAUACAAACUUACGAAGCUCUGUAAAACAAUAAGCUGAACGUUUAAAGACCCCGACUAUUAUAAUGAAAUUUGAAUUUAUAUGAUUAAGAACUAGAAGUUUCCCCGUCUGACAGUUGAAGAUUGUCACCAAGUAUUUCAAAUUCUGCUUUUAUUAAUCUAAAUAAAAUGAUGUACACCUAAAAACACGCUUAAAUAUGCGCCCUAAUCAUUUAAAGCUAUCAGAACACUAUUGCCCCGUUUUGAGCACCUAGUGUAAAGUAAAAGUCGGUUAACAAUAUGAAACGCCAUCCAUGUUAAAUAUCUUAGAAAAGCAGACACUUACCUGGAGAUACAGUCUUCUCUAGUAUUUGUAUGAGUGUUAACGUCGUUUCCGUAUGCAUUGUGACACUGUUAUUAAAUAAAACUGAAGCUAAAAUAA